Molecule: long non-coding RNA, 476 nt
Filed under: Taeniopygia guttata (zebra finch)
Lineage: Eukaryota; Metazoa; Chordata; Aves; Passeriformes; Estrildidae
Description: lncRNA (ENSTGUG00000024463.1)
Source: RNAcentral
GCGCCGGUUGUCUCUGCAGCCCGUCCUACGCCGGUCCACGCUGCGAGUUCUCCACCGACACCGUGGAGACCAACCUGCCGUUCCCUGGGACCAUCAUGACCACCCUGGACAUGGAGGUGACCGUCACCAACUUCAACUACUCCAAGGACCUGGAGGACCCGACCUCCGAGACCUUCCUCUUCUUCCAGAACCACUUCCGGCAGGAGAUCAAGAAGAUCUACGGGACCAUCCCUGGCUACGAGGGCGUGGAGAUCACCAGCCUCAAGUCCGGCAGCAUCGUGGUGGGACACCAGGUCUUCUUCACCAUGGCCCAGAGCAGCAACACCACGGAGAAGUUCCAGGAGACCACGGAGGAGUUGGUGGAGAACCUCCAGGAGGUGGUGGACAGCCAGGGCAACUGCCAGCACAACACCUCCGUGCUGUGUCUGGUGCUGAGAGGUGACCCCGUGGUCAGCGGCAUGAGGGAGGUGUUGGAC